GACGAACGCUGGCGGCGUGCUUAACACAUGCAAGUCGAACGGUGAAGCGCCUUCCUUUUUGGUGGGUGUGGAUGAGUGGCGAACGGGUGAGUAACACGUGAGUAACCUGCCCCCUUCUUCUGGAUAACCGCAUGAAAGUGUGGCUAAUACGGGAUAUUCUGGGUCUGUCGCAUGAUGGGUCUGGGAAAGAUAUUGUUUCGGUGGGGGAUGGGCUCGCGGCCUAUCAGCUUGUUGGUGGGGUGAUGGCCUACCAAGGCGGUGACGGGUAGCCGGCCUGAGAGGGUGGACGGUCACACUGGGACUGAGACACGGCCCAGACUCCUACGGGAGGCAGCAGUGGGGAAUAUUGCACAAUGGGCGCAAGCCUGAUGCAGCGACGCCGCGUGAGGGAUGGAGGCCUUCGGGUUGUGAACCUCUUUCGCCAGUGAAGCAGGCCUGCCGCGUUUGUGGGUGGGUUGACGGUAGCUGGAUAAGAAGCGCCGGCUAACUACGUG
This 494-nucleotide ribosomal RNA is filed under the name uncultured bacterium. RNAcentral's name for it is "partial 16S ribosomal RNA". It matches the Rfam family "Bacterial small subunit ribosomal RNA", at positions 28 to 507 of the family's 1533-position model. The record is from RNAcentral.